Molecule: ribosomal RNA, 279 nt
Filed under: Fusicatenibacter saccharivorans
Lineage: Bacteria; Bacillati; Bacillota; Clostridia; Lachnospirales; Lachnospiraceae
Description: partial 16S ribosomal RNA
Rfam family: Bacterial small subunit ribosomal RNA
Source: RNAcentral
UACGUAGGGGGCAAGCGUUAUCCGGAUUUACUGGGUGUAAAGGGAGCGUAGACGGCAAGGCAAGUCUGAUGUGAAAACCCAGGGCUUAACCCUGGGACUGCAUUGGAAACUGUCUGGCUCGAGUGCCGGAGAGGUAAGCGGAAUUCCUAGUGUAGCGGUGAAAUGCGUAGAUAUUAGGAAGAACACCAGUGGCGAAGGCGGCUUACUGGACGGUAACUGACGUUGAGGCUCGAAAGCGUGGGGAGCAAACAGGAUUAGAUACCCGAGGGCUGACUGACU